CACACCUCCUGUCACAGGCAACAGCAUCUGAAGGAUGCUCGCAGGUUUCCCAGUCUCUUUUCUCCCCUGGAGAAGAGCCCAAGAGGAGGGAAUGAUGCUGCAGCCGCCACCAGCCCAACAGGGAAAGCGUCCUGCAGAGAAACAGCACAUCUCAGCAUCCCUGGGGCCCACUGAGCACUGCAGGAUCGGCGGUUAGGAGAACACCUGUGUGUCAACGCCUUCCUUCAUUGCUUGUUCAAGACAUUUAGCUUCUUGCUGAGUGCUCCUGGCCCAGGGGUAAGGAUGCCAGCAGUGAUGGAAACUGAGCCAGCAGGUCUCACUGCCCACACUGACAGCAGCACCAUAAUAGGCUGAUACUAACAGGGACCAGCGAC
Molecule: long non-coding RNA, 374 nt
Filed under: Gallus gallus (chicken)
Lineage: Eukaryota; Metazoa; Chordata; Aves; Galliformes; Phasianidae
Description: lncRNA (ENSGALG00010023675.1)
Source: RNAcentral